Non-coding RNA from Bos taurus (domestic cattle), 73 nucleotides. NCBI's taxonomy places the organism in Eukaryota, Metazoa, Chordata, Mammalia, Artiodactyla, Bovidae. The record is from Rfam.
UCCCUGAUGUCUCAGAUGGUAAAGAAUCUGCCUGCAAUGCAGGAGGCCUGGGUUCUAUCUCUGGGUCAGGAAG